UGUAUCAUCACUUCCGUAAGUUAACAACAAUUAUGGCUGUUCGGUGGCACUUAAACACUUGAGAAGAAGAAAUUUAAGUAAGACAACAUUGCAAGAGGUAAAAAAAUGGCUCUAUAAAAGGACUCUGGACACUAAAGUACAACGUUUUAUAAAGUCAAGACUCUGCCAUUGAUUGAGAAGCAGGCUAAAAGUGGGUCACGGGGGUGCUGGAGCCUAUCCCAGAGCCUAUCCCGGAGUACCCGGAGAAAACCCACGCAUGCACAGGGAGAACGCGCAAACUCCACACAGAGAUGGCCGAGGGCGGAAUUGAACCCGGGUCCAGGUUUUUUCAUUGGCUGCAGCGUGGCCUUGGAGAAAAGAUCUUCAAACUCUUGAGUGUCAAUGACAUCCGGCUCCUCCAGGCAGCCCCACAAUGUGUUGUUGCUGGAAAGAAAACAUCCCGCUGUUAGUUUGUGAUGUAUUUUCACAGAACAACAGUUCCAUCAACUUGAAGAUGUCAGUCCUCCAGCUUUGGCCGGGACUGGUGAGAGAGUGUGGACCACAACUCGGCCACCCCACCCCACUAAUUCAGCCAUGGAAAUACAAGGUCAUAAAGUUGAACGCCUGGCACUCAUGAAGCAGCAACCACAACCACAGUAAAUGGGCUGGAUAAUCCACUUACAGAUACACACUUUUAGGAGUAGAAUGGAAUGGUGCCGAGGCAAACACAUUGAUGUGGAUGAAGUGAACUGCUCACUUGAUUGCAGUAUUUUACUGCUGAAAACCAUCAACAUGUUGGAAUCAGUAUAAAAAAAUAAGUAAUAUUUAGCAUAAAGUCUUAUGUAGGGUCAUUGAUUUAAAGUUACUCAGGUUUAUAUAUGACGUCAUCAAUGUUUUAUAACACAAUUCAUAUAUUAAAUUGCUGAUUUUUUAAGUGGCUUCACAACACUGAAACUAUCAUUAUAAUGACAUGAUACCUGCCUCUAAAUAUAAUCAUAAAAUAGUAAAUAUAAAUUUAUAGAUAUUUAUUUUGGCCCCAUAAAGGUCUGCUACUUCAUGUGUAUUGUGUGACACAUACUUAUCGUCAUAUAUUUGUAUCCUGGUCCAGUACAAAGGCUUCAUGGGACAGCCUGGUUCAAUACUAGGCUUCCGAGGGGCCUUGUCCAACAUAUGACUGAGAUCGAACCCCCCCAUGGGUGGAGGAGGCGGGGGGCCGCAGCCUGG
Doryrhamphus excisus (bluestripe pipefish) is the source of this 1203-nucleotide long non-coding RNA. RefSeq lists it as uncharacterized. The record is from RefSeq and is a predicted model, not a curated record. NCBI's taxonomy places the organism in Eukaryota, Metazoa, Chordata, Actinopteri, Syngnathiformes, Syngnathidae.